AACAGGAUUAGAUACCCUGGUAGUCCACGCUGUAAACGAUGUCGACUUGGAGGUUGUGCCCUUGAGGCGUGGCUUCCGGAGCUAACGCGUUAAGUCGACCGCCUGGGGAGUACGGCCGCAAGGUUAAAACUCAAAUGAAUUGACGGGGGCCCGCACAAGCGGUGGAGCAUGUGGUUUAAUUCGAUGCAACGCGAAGAACCUUACCUACUCUUGACAUCCAGAGAAUUCGCUAGAGAUAGCUUAGUGCCUUCGGGAACUCUGAGACAGGUGCUGCAUGGCUGUCGUCAGCUCGUGUUGUGAAAUGUUGGGUUAAGUCCCGCAACGAGCGCAACCCUUAUCCUUUGUUGCCAGCACGUAAUGGUGGGAACUCAAAGGAGACUGCCGGUGAUAAACCGGAGGAAGGUGGGGAUGACGUCAAGUCAUCAUGGCCCUUACGAGUAGGGCUACACACGUGCUACAAUGGCGCAUACAAAGAGAAGCGAACUCGCGAGAGCAAGCGGACCUCAUAAAGUGCGUCGUAGUCCGGAUUGGAGUCUGCAACUCGACUCCAUGAAGUCGGAAUCGCUAGUAAUCGUAGAUCAGAAUGCUACGGUGAAUACGUUCCCGGGCCUUGUACACACCGCCCGUCACACCAUGGGAGUGGGUUGCAAAAGAAGUAGGUAGCUUAACCUUCGGGAGGGCGCUUACCACUUUGUGAUUCAUGACUGGGGGUGAAGUCGUAACAAGGUAACC
RNAcentral lists this ribosomal RNA (732 nucleotides) under uncultured bacterium. RNAcentral describes it as "bacterial SSU rRNA". It matches the Rfam family "Bacterial small subunit ribosomal RNA", at positions 771 to 1501 of the family's 1533-position model. The record is from RNAcentral.